AGAGUUUGAUCCUGGCUCAGGACGAACGCUGGCGGCGUGCCUAAUACAUGCAAGUCGAACGCACUCUUGAACUGAUUGAAGAAGCUUGCUUCUGAUUGAAGCUCAUUUGAGUGAGUGGCGGACGGGUGAGUAACACGUGGGUAACCUGCCCUAAAGUGGGGGAUAACAUUUGGAAACAGAUGCUAAUACCGCAUAAAACCUAGCACCGCAUGGUGCAAGGUUGAAAGAUGGUUUCGGCUAUCACUUUAGGAUGGACCCGCGGUGCAUUAGUUAGUUGGUGAGGUAAAGGCCCACCAAGACUGUGAUGCAUAGCCGACCUGAGAGGGUAAUCGGCCACACUGGGACUGAGACACGGCCCAGACUCCUACGGGAGGCAGCAGUAGGGAAUCUUCCACAAUGGACGAAAGUCUGAUGGAGCAACGCCGCGUGAGUGAAGAAGGUUUUCGGAUCGUAAAACUCUGUUGUUGGAGAAGAAUGUAUCUGAUAGUAACUGAUCAGGUAGUGACGGUAUCCAACCAGAAAGCCACGGCUAACUACGUGCCAGCAGCCGCGGUAAUACGUAGGUGGCAAGCGUUGUCCGGAUUUAUUGGGCGUAAAGCGAGCGCAGGCGGUUUUUUAAGUCUGAUGUGAAAGCCUUCGGCUCAACCGAAGAAGUGCAUCGGAAACUGGGAAACUUGAGUGCAGAAGAGGACAGUGGAACUCCAUGUGUAGCGGUGAAAUGCGUAGAUAUAUGGAAGAACACCAGUGGCGAAGGCGGCUGUCUGGUCUGUAACUGACGCUGAGGCUCGAAAGCAUGGGUAGCAAACAGGAUUAGAUACCCUGGUAGUCCAUGCCGUAAACGAUGAGUGCUAGGUGUUGGAGGGUUUCCGCCCUUCAGUGCCGCAGCUAACGCAUUAAGCACUCCGCCUGGGGAGUACGAUCGCAAGAUUGAAACUCAAAGGAAUUGACGGGGGCCCGCACAAGCGUGG
Molecule: ribosomal RNA, 968 nt
Filed under: uncultured bacterium
Lineage: Bacteria
Description: bacterial SSU rRNA
Rfam family: Bacterial small subunit ribosomal RNA
Source: RNAcentral